This is a non-coding RNA of Paramormyrops kingsleyae, 791 nucleotides long. The record is from RefSeq and is a predicted model, not a curated record. NCBI's taxonomy places the organism in Eukaryota, Metazoa, Chordata, Actinopteri, Osteoglossiformes, Mormyridae.
AACGUAAACUCCAUAUGGAGCUUCAAAAACAUCUGGUCUGGGAUCAGUUUGAGUUGCAUCCAGCCAUUAGCAAGGGGGAAAACCACAGCCAUCGUGACAGACAAGUCAGGGUAGGGUGGAAUAGAGGGACGAGACAAAAGAAGAGAGAGAGGGCUGGAGAACGGACACAUGUAAGAGGAAUACAGAAAGCGAGAGAGAAUGAAGAGGGGACCUUUGAAAGGCUCUUUAUUCGGCCGUGAUUGAGGAGAAGUGGAGGACAUUCAAAUAGAAAAAGGUCACCGGAGAGAGAGGGUGAGGAAGAUUCCAAUGAGGAAGAUGCUGGAGGUGACAUGGAUUUGAUACUGUACAUGGGUCACAGCAAACUUACAAACAGGCAAAGGACCCAGACGAUUUCAGUGUCACAUAAACACAAACCCCACUGUCUGAUGCCUGGCUCCACCUCCGUCUAUCUCUUCUAAUCCCUCUUCCAUAUUCCUACCCCUGCUUCCGCAGGACCUAUCAGCGCCAUCACUCUAGCCUAUAAAUAGCUUUGAUCCAUUCCCUUGUCAUGGUUUUGGCAGUGUAGGGAGGUGAAGGAGAUGGAGCAGCUCUCCUACAGUAAAGAGAACUUUUGUGACUUGGACCAAACAGGAGUUCCCCAUGAGAGGACUCAUGAGCUGAUGGAGAGAGUGAAUCUAAUUGAAGUAUAUGCAGCUGCUUGAGGAAUUAAGUGACAAUUAAAAGAUUCAUUUAUGCACUCAACCUAACAACCUUAAUUCAUCCAUUCAAGGCUCCAUAAAGGGCCGUCACGU